AUGGGAGGAGAAAGAAGGGAGACUGAAAACAUGAGCAAAAUAUUUGGAUUUUAAACUGGAAUUGUGAAAAGAGAUGCACUUUGUUGAUGUGAGGAGCUUGGCCAUGAAGCUGGCAGCCCUCACUGAUUGGCAUCACUGCUGAUUGAGAGCUGAGUGUGUCACAGCUACUCUGCUUCCUUUGGAUCUGGGAGCUGCCCACUGAACCCACUAGAAUCUUGGCACCAUGUCGUUCCGUGGCCCGGGCCUGUACGAGUUCCUCACUGAAGCUGAGCUCCAGCAGUACUACAACCACUUCAAGAAUGAUCUGAAGGUGCAGAACGUCCCACAAAUCAAAUGGGUGACAGAUGAGGAUCUUGUCACCAUGGGCCUGUCGAAGCCCGAAAUUCGACGGCUGAAGAAGUUCUUCAGCAAGUACUGCCCUCAAAACUAUCUGUCCAAAAUGAAAAGGAAGCUGCUAGGCCGGCGGGACGACGAGCUGCCAGAGCCGGCGCUCGUGCCCGACGACUCGCCCUCCCGCCAGCGGCACGCCAUCAAAAUGCCCAAACACAUCAUACCGGCCGACGCCAUAGUCGUUAACAAGGAGCUCGGCACCGGGGAGUUCGGCGUGGUGCAGCAGGGCGUUUGGACCAACGAGGAGGGGCACAGGAUCCAGGUGGCCAUCAAGUGUCUGAGCAAGCAGCGGAUGCAGUCCAACCCCACCGAGUUCCUCAAGGAGGCGACCAUCAUGCACAACAUCGAGCACGAGCACAUCGUGCGCCUGUACGGUGUGGUGCUCGACACCAACGCCCUGAUGCUGGUGACUGAGCUGGCUCCUCUACGCUCGCUGCUCGAGUGUCUGAAGGAGCCGAACCUGCGGGCCAGCUUCCCGGUGUUGACGCUCUGCGGGUUCGCCAUCCAGAUCUGUGACGGCAUGCAGUACCUAGAGUCGAAACGGCUUAUUCACAGAGAUCUGGCGGCGCGAAAUAUCCUCGUUUUCUCAAAGAACACUAUCAAAAUUUCCGACUUCGGCCUGUCACGGAUGCUGGGAGUCGGAAAGGAUUAUUAUCAAACCAAUUUCAACGUCAACCUGAAGCUACCCAUCGCCUGGUGUGCGCCAGAGUGCAUCAACUACCUGCGCUUCACGUCGUCCAGCGACGUCUGGGCCUACGGCGUGACGCUGUGGGAGAUGUUCAGCUACGGCUUCCAGCCGUGGGCGGCGCUCACCGGACAGCAGAUCCUCGAGGCCAUCGACGAGCCCAACUUCCAGCGCCUGGAGCAGCCGGAUACCUGUCCCAAGGACUGCUACAACCUGAUGCUCAAGUGUUGGCAGCACGACCCCAACAAGCGGCCCAACUUCCACGAGCUGGCGCAGCUGCUACCGGAGUGUAAGCCGGAACAGGUGCAGGCGGUACAGUCGGCCGGCAGUGAGCCCACAUCACCCACCAAACGCGACCGGCUCCAGUACGAGGUCGGAGACGUCGUCACCGUGCUGGACAAACGCCCGGUGGCCGACCACCCCAACUUGUGGAAGGGAGUCACGGCGUCCGGUAAAACGGGCCUGUUCAACCCGUCCCACUUCGUGGCAUACCUGGGCAGCAACCUGCCCUCCAGCACCAGCAGCCAGGCCAGCCAGCCGUUCAGCCGUGGAGAAGCCAAGGCGGCCUACUCGUCCAAACGUCGUCUGAAGCCGGAGAUGAUCUCAGCGCCACAGGACGACCUCAAACACACGGGCCAUGUCGGCAUGGACGGCACACACUUCGGCGACGUCAGCUUCCUCGGAGACAAGUAUCAGCAGCUGCCUCGUCAGGUGGUCAGCCCGUACAAGCCCCAGGACGACCUGCGCGCCUCCCUGCUGACCCGCGCUGGCUCAGACGUGUCCGACCGUGCCCCGCUGCUGGCGGCGAGCUCCUCCGACCCGGCAGUGCGCGGCGCAGGACCGGCCGAGGAGCUGGCAGCGGACGGAGUGUGGGAGCCCGCGGCGGGGACGGCGGGGGCGGCGGCGGAGCGACCGGCCGGCCGCGGGGACACCUACCGUCGCACGGCCGGCGCCAAAGGACAGCACGAGUACCACGAGAUCAGUGAUGAGGAGGAGGGCGGAGCAGCGGCGGCGGUCGCGGCAGCGGCGGCCACAGGAGCGGCCAGCCCGCCACCCUUCCAGAGCGAUCCGUUUGACCUGGGCCCCAGCCUGAUGGACGAAGUGAUGUCGAUUCUGGGCGGACCGGCGACGGCGGCGCCCCAGCCGCGGCCCCGGGAUCGCGUCAUGUCUGAGGAAUCCACCUCCGGCGGCGAGGCGAGCAACGUGCGCAACGAACUGCGCGAGCAGAGUGCACGCAUGCUGCGCGAACACGGUCAGAAGAAACGCAAGGAGAGCAAGGUCCGGGACAUCUCCGAGUCCGACCGGCGCACCCUGGAGCAGGCCAUCGCCAUGGCCAACGACCUGGCGGCCCGCUCGAUGGCCGAGCUCGACUCUGACUCGCUCGACUCACCACACACACCCAGCAGUCCGACCAAGAAGAAGUUCUCCUUCAAGCUGAAGCCGAGUCCGCCGAUGUCGCGCCGUAACUUCAGCACAGAGGCGGCGAGCAUCCCUGAUAUACAGACGUCUCUGAAGCACGAGGAGAGGGAGGCGUACAACUCGCUGGUGCAGAAACCGCCGACCGCCGCCGCCGCCGCCGCCGCCUCCACUGAAGAUACUGCAAUGGAAACGUCCGAUAAUCCACUUAGAAUGUUACGAGCCGGCAUCACGGUUCGACCUAAGGUCCGUGGUAACAAGCACAGCGGCCUGCCGACCGGGACGGCCACCAUUGAACGGAGUCAGGGAGUGAGCCGCAGCCGCGCCGCCACCCUGGCCGCCAAGGGUGGUGCGGAGCCGGGUGGCGGCGCGCCGUCCGACUCGGCCUCGCUGCAGACCUGGCACCGCACCAUGUCCAUCGACCGAGACCUGGCUGUGGGCUCGGCGCCCGCUGCCGACCCGUCCAACCCGCUGCCGCUGCCGCCGCGAGACCGCACCAAGAGUCUACAGGAGUCGGCCAGCAAGCCUCGCCACCAGCGCAAGCACCCCCUGCUGCUGCCGGGCGCAGGCGGACCGGCCGGCCGGGCUGCCGACAGCCUCUCACCAGAGGAUGUACCGGACGGCGGCCGGCUGCCCCGCGGAGCGCCGCCAGCCAAACCGCCCCGGCUCAAUCUGAACGACUCGUUCGAGUCGCAGCUGGCGCAGGAGAUGGAGGCGCUCGACCACAUCCCCGAGGAGUGUGUGGGCUCGGCCGGCUCCGGCUCCGGCUCCGGCUCCGGCUCCGGCUCCGGGUCGGUCUGUCCGCCCGGAGCCGACCUGCUCUACACGUGGCGCGACCACGUCAGCUGUGAGGACCUGCUCGAGUUCGCUGCGGACCGGCCGAACGCGCGCCGCACGCGCGGACCCGCCCACGGUGCGCAGAGCGACGAGGUCCGGAUCAUGCUGAAGGUGCUGGGUACGGGCGCCACCUCAGAGGCCUGCCUGCUGGCGCUCAACGAGACCAGCUGGGACGUGCACCGCGCCAUCAAACUGUGCCAGGUCACACGGGCUCUCGGCAGAGAGGUGGCGUGUGACGAGGUGAGCCGCGCGCUGCGCCAGGUCGAGUGGAACGUCAGCAGGGCGGUCAGCAGUCUGAUGGUGCGCCACGGCUCCGCGUCUGGACAGGCCACCGUCGUAUGACGGGCCGCUCCUCCCGGCGCCGGGCGCACCAUCGGAGUACCGUGUCCACUAAAUUCAGGCUGAUAUGAGACGUCCUUCGUGGACAGGCAGAUCUCUAUGGAAUCUGUUCGGAUUAGAUACCGACACUGGCCAGGUUUUCGGGCCUCUGCUCGGUGUGGCAGUGAUAUACGGGGCCGCUGGCGAGAUCAGCUGCUCUAUGAUGUACCUACCUGUGUGUUUUGGCGGCCGGCGGCGGUCGGAACUGUGCGUGUGUGACGGCGGUGCGUGUGCGAAGUAUUAUCGGCGGUUUCUCACAAGCGAAUGUGGGUUUUAUUCUGCCUCUAUGCCUCGAACGGGACCAGUGCGGGUCCAACCCCUGUGCGCCUCCAAAUGCCAGCUUCCACCUCCUCGGGGUGGGGUAUUGGCUCCGCUCCCCCGCCCCGCUGGGCAGGAGAGGGGAGCGCCGCCCCCACUCCGCGGAGGGCGACCUCAACCCCACCCCUCCCCAGCAUCACGACGUAGGUGCUCGUCUUCCCUCCCCCCCCCCCCCCCGCCGACCGAAAUAGCGGCGCCCCCGGGCUGUUUUAUAUUCGUGCGUGGUGUGCGCGUGACCCUGCGGGUAGAUCGGUGCGCGAUCCGCCACUGAGUUAAUGAGAACGUGCCACAGUUGCAGCUUUACUGACAAAUACUGGGCGGCUGGCGCGGCGGCCGGCCGCCCAAAUUAUAACGAGGAGUUGUGAAUCUCUGCGCGCGACCCAGUUUGUACUUUUGUACGUUUUUUAGUCUCAAUCGCGUGUGCCUGCGCAAAAUCGCGCCGCCUGUGGCACGGGUGUGGGCUUGGACCGUGGUCCGUCGGACGAUGGUCCCGGUCUCACAGGACAGGACCGUGGUCUGUCGGCCGACGGUCCCGGUCUCAGGACCGUGGUCUGUCGGACGAUGGUCCCGGUCUCAGGACCGUGGUCUCGGUCUCUCAGGACCGUUGUCCAUCGUGCGGUGGUCCCGGUCUCUGGGGACCGUGGUCCCGGUCUCGCCGACACCCGGCCGCUGGCGGUGCCCGGUACAGUAGCGGCCGAUAUGUUCGACCCGAUGUAGCGGACUGCAAUAUACCUGCAGCGUACAA
This 4769-nucleotide unclassified non-coding RNA is filed under the name Amphibalanus amphitrite. RNAcentral describes it as "activated Cdc42 kinase-like, transcript variant X1". The record is from RNAcentral. Lineage: Eukaryota; Metazoa; Arthropoda; Thecostraca; Balanomorpha; Balanidae.